Molecule: small nuclear RNA, 116 nt
Organism: Pan paniscus (pygmy chimpanzee)
Lineage: Eukaryota; Metazoa; Chordata; Mammalia; Primates; Hominidae
Gene: U5
Rfam family: U5 spliceosomal RNA
About the family: U5 RNA is a component of both types of known spliceosome. The precise function of this molecule is unknown, though it is known that the 5' loop is required for splice site selection and p220 binding, and that both the 3' stem-loop and the Sm site are important for Sm protein binding and cap methylation.
Source: Ensembl
AUACUCUGGUUUCUCUUCAGAUCGUAUAAAUCUUUCGCCUUUUACUAAAGAUUUCCGUGGAGAGGAACAACUCUGAGUCUUAAGCCAAUUUUUUGAGGCCUUGUUCCGGCAAGGCU